ACAAAGGCUCUUUUAAGAGCCACUCCAUACACAAAGAAAGAGCUGU
Colius striatus (speckled mousebird) is the source of this 46-nucleotide regulatory RNA element. It matches the Rfam family "Histone 3' UTR stem-loop". From Rfam's summary of the family: The mRNAs of metazoan histone genes lack a poly-A tail. 3' end processing occurs at a site between a highly conserved stem-loop (modelled by this family) and a purine rich region around 20 nts downstream (the histone downstream element, or HDE). The record is from Rfam. NCBI's taxonomy places the organism in Eukaryota, Metazoa, Chordata, Aves, Coliiformes, Coliidae.